RNAcentral lists this ribosomal RNA (253 nucleotides) under uncultured bacterium. RNAcentral's name for it is "partial 16S ribosomal RNA". It matches the Rfam family "Bacterial small subunit ribosomal RNA", at positions 524 to 776 of the family's 1533-position model. The record is from RNAcentral.
UACGUAGGGUGCGAGCGUUAAUCGGAAUUACUGGGCGUAAAGCGUGCGCAGGCGGUUCGUUAAGUUCGAUGUGAAAUCCCCGGGCUCAACCCGGGAACUGCGUCCGAUACUGGAAGGCUUGAAUCCGGGAGAGGGAUGUGGAAUUCCAGGUGUAGCGGUGAAAUGCGUAGAUAUCUGGAGGAACACCGGUGGCGAAGGCGACAUCCUGGACCGGUAUUGACGCUGAGGCGCGAAAGCCAGGGGAGCAAACGGG